Molecule: unclassified non-coding RNA, 240 nt
Filed under: uncultured fungus
Lineage: Eukaryota; Fungi
Description: sequence contains ITS2
Rfam family: 5.8S ribosomal RNA (bases 1-52)
Source: RNAcentral
AACGCACAUUGCGCUCCUUGGUAUUCCGAGGAGCAUGCCUGUUCGAGCGUCAUUACAACCCUCAAGCCUUGCUUGGUAUUGGGCGUCAUCAGCGACGAUGUGCCUCAAAGUUAGUGGCGGUGCUGCCUAGCUUCUAAGCGUAGUAAAAAUCCUCGCUAUAGAUGCCUGGUGGAUACUUGCCGUAGCCUUAAAAUUUUCAAGGUUGACCUCGGAUCAGGUAGGGAUACCCGCUGAACUUAA